This 339-nucleotide unclassified non-coding RNA is filed under the name Hevea brasiliensis (rubber tree). The record is from RNAcentral. Lineage: Eukaryota; Viridiplantae; Streptophyta; Magnoliopsida; Malpighiales; Euphorbiaceae.
GGUCUUGGACAUCCAGUAGACUGCGGCAGAAGGAUCUCAUAUCAUCUGGAGCAGGGUGAGAGCGCCCCAUAGGAGCUCACAACAAUUGUGGUAAUUUUUAUUCGAGGAGACUUACUCUCUCCUAUAUAACAUGCUGCCAUAUAAUCAACACUUCCGUGUCUCCUUAAUUAUGUACCAUUCUUUAGCAUCUUGCAAAAUGGUCUAUAGUUUCCCUAAAAAGUUGACUGCAAUGUUGAAUUGCUGUGUAUUUUGUCAUAUUAGUGUUGCUUUAAGUGUAUCAUGAAGUCAACUUAUGUUAAAAUGCUUUUGUGGACAGGAUAGCUGACAAAUCACAGAUUU